This 1152-nucleotide long non-coding RNA is filed under the name Notechis scutatus (mainland tiger snake). RNAcentral's name for it is "lncRNA (ENSNSUG00000014564.1)". Lineage: Eukaryota; Metazoa; Chordata; Lepidosauria; Squamata; Elapidae. The record is from RNAcentral.
UGCGCCCAUCACCAAAAACUACGAGCAAUGUGGGGCUAUGUAUGUCCUUCAGGGCCAGCACGGAGAGAGUUGUCCCCUUUUGGCAACGUUAGUUUCCCAACCUGCAAUAAUCCCAGCACCGCCCCUGCAGAGAAUCUACAUUUCAGAGGUUCGCGUAUUUAUCCGAAUCAGCAAAUCGGGGAGGCCAGAUCCUACUGGGCAUUUUUUUUUUUAAUGGAAUAACUAUAAAAUUCCACCCUGUGGUCGACAACCAAGUAACGGAGGCUUCAUAUGUAUUGGAGAAAAAGGUCCUCCGUCCGCCCAGGCCUCUCCUUCCCAUCCAAGGCAGGGAACCGCGAGAUCUCGCUCACCCAGCCCACAUCCCAUCAAAAGCUGCCUUCCAUCCCAAACUGCGCCUUCCCAGCCGGAGACCCCCGCGGAGCAGCCGCAAUCGGCCACGAGGGGCCUACGAUCCGAGCCCCCACAGCCCGCCCGUCUCCAUCCUGCUCCUCCGACCGAAGACCACUUCCAUCUCUUCUCACCACCACCACCACCACCCCCGGCCUUACAGCGCAGACACAAAUUCAGCCAUUGCGCUUUCUCUCCCCCCCCUCCCCGCCGCGGUUACCGCUGCCCGCAACGCCAGCGGAGGCCGAGGCCGUCCUCCCUCCCUCUGCGUCGUCGUUGUUGGUUUUUUGUUUUGUUUUUUUUGGUGUUUUUUUUUUUUUUGCUGCGCUCAACGUCUCCCGCCUUACAAGGCCUCGUUCUCCCCGUCAGCCCCCUUCGCCCACUCCCCGCCCCGCAAUCCUUCCCUCCGAAAGAGCCGGGCCGGGCCUAUACCUGGCGCCGCAGCCUCUCAGCUUGCCUAAAAACUCCGCGCCCGCCCGCGGAAGGAGCCUCCGUCUCCCCCACUUAGGCUUCGGGUCGGGUCAGGCUACUGCUCGAGCCGUCGCCUCCGCCUUCUUCUUGUUUCUCCUCCUCACGCAGCGGCCUCUCCUUUCGUCGGCCUCUGCCCUCGCAAUCCAAGCGCAGCCAGCAGCGCAGACAUGUUGGAAGCCUGUAUCCCAGCGGCCGCUACUAGGCCCUCCCUCCUUCCCUGCCGCGCAACGUCAGAAUGCACCGGGUGGGAGGAGGGGACAAGAGCCCCCUCCCUUACCAGAGCCUCGGCGAGAG